ACUCAUUUAUAGCACAGUCAGUAGAGCAUGAGACCCUCAUUCACAGGGUUGUGGGUUCAAGCCCCACGUUGGGCA
Non-coding RNA from Podarcis lilfordi (Lilford's wall lizard), 75 nucleotides. The record is from the annotation of a GenBank genome assembly. Lineage: Eukaryota; Metazoa; Chordata; Lepidosauria; Squamata; Lacertidae.